This 253-nucleotide ribosomal RNA is filed under the name uncultured bacterium. RNAcentral describes it as "partial 16S ribosomal RNA". It matches the Rfam family "Bacterial small subunit ribosomal RNA", at positions 524 to 776 of the family's 1533-position model. The record is from RNAcentral.
UACGUAGGUGGCGAGCGUUAUCCGGAAUUACUGGGCGUAAAGCGCACGCAGGCGGCUUUUCAAGUCUGACGUGAAAGCUCCUGGCUUAACUGGGAGAGGUCGUUGGAAACUGAGAGGCUUGAGGCAAUGAGAGGGGUGUGGAAUUCCCGGUGUAGUGGUGGAAUGCGUAGAGAUCGGGAGGAACACCAGUGGCGAAAGCGGCACCCUGGCAUUGGCCUGACGCUCAUGUGCGAAAGCGUGGGGAGCAAACGGG